ACCCAAUAGAUACCCUGGUAGUCCACGCUGUAAACGAUGAGAACUAGGUUUCGCGGGUCUUGACCCCUGCGGAGCCGGAGCUAAACGCAAUAAGUUCUCCGCCUGGGGAGUACGGUCGCAAGACUAAAACUCAAAGGAAUUGACGGGGGCCCGGCACAAGCGGUGGAUCAUGUGGUUUAAUUCGAAGCAACGCGAAGAACCUUACCUGGGUUUGACAUCCUCUGACAUCCGUAGAGAUACGGCUUUCGUAGCAAUACGACAGAGAGACAGGUGCUGCAUGGCUGUCGUCAGCUCGUGUGGUGACAUGUUGGGUUAAGUCCCGCAACGAGCGCAACCCCUAUUGUUAGUUGCCAGCAUUCAUUGGGGCACUCUAACGAGACUGCCGUGGUUAACACGGAGAAGGUGGGAUGACGUCAAGUCCUCAUGGCCCUUAUGCCCAGGGCGACACACGUGAUAC
This 457-nucleotide ribosomal RNA is filed under the name uncultured bacterium. RNAcentral describes it as "bacterial SSU rRNA". It matches the Rfam family "Bacterial small subunit ribosomal RNA", at positions 770 to 1228 of the family's 1533-position model. The record is from RNAcentral.